ACAUUCUCAUCCACUGCACCGACUCCCUUCCACCAACUUUGUAUCUCCGAUUAGACAAGACAGCAAGGGAGAACAAGAAUCGACACGUCUUUGCCUUUCUCUCUCUCUUAAUGGAGCUCAUUAUCUUCAAAAAGAAGACGAUGCAACAGUGAGGUGGCCCAUUUGCGACUUAAUGCUAGCAGGCACUCAACCAGUGAAUGCUCCACAGCAGCAAGUGCAUGCUGACAUCACAGAGGAAAAACCAUACAGACAGGUUCAUCUUGGACCCAAUGCGAGGAAGGCUCAAGAGGACAGAAAUACUGGAGGGAGAUAUGGUGGCCACCUACCGCGAGGCGUAUAGCACACAAUGACCACAGAUAGGACAAGGACAAGAUGUGGACAAGGUCAGGGAGGAUGUCCUUGUACUAGAAUGGUUUACAGGGACAUUGGCAACAAAAUGGAAGAAGAUGAUGGUUGCUGUCACAGGACAGCGGGACUGGAAGCAGGUUUGGGUUGAGACCAUUCCAAGGGAUAGUGUAAUUCUCCUUCCUUUCACUCUGACAGCAAGAGACAAACUGCCACCUCAGUUAGUGAUUCGAUUGAAGGAGAAAUAUAUGGAUUAUUUGAAGUAGGUAUUCAGGCCUAGUUAAAGCCCUUCUAUAGUGUUGGGACCCCCCCCCCCCCCAAUUUGAUGGCAAUAUUCCACAUAGAGUGCGUACUGACAUAUGGUUUUCGAUGAACACACAAUUCUGCAAGGAUUUUCAUGACGCUAGUGAUUGAAGACAAAUUUUGGUAAUAGAAAUAAAGGAAUUUCAAUUUUUCUCUUUUAAGCAUACAACUCAAUUUUUAAAAAGAUUUGUUUUUAAAUCAUCACUAAGAUAACAAAUGAACUUUCGAACAUUAAGUUUUAAGUAACAUGUAUAUGUGAUAAAUUGUUCGCCCUGAAACUGCACUGAAAUAUUUUAU
This is a long non-coding RNA of Strongylocentrotus purpuratus (purple sea urchin), 945 nucleotides long. RefSeq lists it as uncharacterized. The transcript is spliced from 3 exons. The record is from RefSeq and is a predicted model, not a curated record. Lineage: Eukaryota; Metazoa; Echinodermata; Echinoidea; Camarodonta; Strongylocentrotidae.